Molecule: ribosomal RNA, 820 nt
Filed under: Bacillus sp. TGR19
Lineage: Bacteria; Bacillati; Bacillota; Bacilli; Caryophanales; Bacillaceae
Description: bacterial SSU rRNA
Rfam family: Bacterial small subunit ribosomal RNA
Source: RNAcentral
CUGGCGGCGUGCUAUACAUGCAAGUCGAGCGGACAGAUGGGAGCUUGCUCCCUGAUGUUAGCGGCGGACGGGUGAGUAACACGUGGGUAACCUGCCUGUAAGACUGGGAUAACUCCGGGAAACCGGGGCUAAUACCGGAUGGUUGUUUGAACCGCAUGGUUCAAACAUAAAAGGUGGCUUCGGCUACCACUUACAGAUGGACCCGCGGCGCAUUAGCUAGUUGGUGAGGUAACGGCUCACCAAGGCAACGAUGCGUAGCCGACCUGAGAGGGUGAUCGGCCACACUGGGACUGAGACACGGCCCAGACUCCUACGGGAGGCAGCAGUAGGGAAUCUUCCGCAAUGGACGAAAGUCUGACGGAGCAACGCCGCGUGAGUGAUGAAGGUUUUCGGAUCGUAAAGCUCUGUUGUUAGGGAAGAACAAGUACCGUUCGAAUAGGGCGGUACCUUGACGGUACCUAACCAGAAAGCCACGGCUAACUACGUGCCAGCAGCCGCGGUAAUACGUAGGUGGCAAGCGUUGUCCGGAAUUAUUGGGCGUAAAGGGCUCGCAGGCGGUUUCUUAAGUCUGAUGUGAAAGCCCCCGGCUCAACCGGGGAGGGUCAUUGGAAACUGGGGAACUUGAGUGCAGAAGAGGAGAGUGGAAUUCCACGUGUAGCGGUGAAAUGCGUAGAGAUGUGGAGGAACACCAGUGGCGAAGGCGACUCUCUGGUCUGUAACUGACGCUGAGGAGCGAAAGCGUGGGGAGCGAACAGGAUUAGAUACCCUGGUAGUCCACGCCGUAAACGAUGAGUGCUAAGUGUUAGGGGGUUUCCGCCCC